Long non-coding RNA from Pocillopora damicornis (cauliflower coral), 832 nucleotides. RefSeq lists it as uncharacterized. NCBI's taxonomy places the organism in Eukaryota, Metazoa, Cnidaria, Anthozoa, Scleractinia, Pocilloporidae. The record is from RefSeq and is a predicted model, not a curated record.
AUCAAGCUGUUUAUUAAAUACGAAACCAAUAGAAACUUAAAUUGAAAGAAUUUUCCUUGAUGUAUCAUGAAUUGUUUCUAUUCAUAAGUGGCAGAUAGGCGCCGAAAAAAUGUAUAGGGAAUAAUUGAUGCGCAAGUCAGUAAAAUUUCCAAUAAUUUCGUCACAAUUUUUAAUAAAAUGGGAGUUCUAUCCAUUGCGUGAGCUAAGACAAAAAAAGUUGACGAAAAAAGGAAAACUGCAAAGAUCAAACAGAAGUAUGGUGAUUGAAGCCUUAAACUGAGUUCGAGGCUAUUCUGCAAACUAUUUUCCUUUCGUUUCUCAUUUAGAGAACUUAAAAGCUCUACAAACAUUGUGGCGUUCUUGGAGAGAACAGAGGGCGGCCAACUGGGGUAGGCGAGGCCUAGAACCAAGUAUAUGUGAUCGCAAACGAAGUGCAGGCCAAGAACGUGUCUGACUACCUGGCUUUAGAAACAGGAACAGAGCCUUAAAACAUCAGCGUAUUUCACGCAAACCAUGGCAAUGCAAUUCUCGGGAAAAGGAAAGCGUACGCAUGAUCCUGUACGACGAGAACGUCUCACAAAGAGAGUCAACAAGUUCCAUGGUUACUUUGGAAGAAAGCAUGUUACAAACAUCUGAAGAAAAACCAGCAAGCGUAGUGUGAAACAAUUCACUCCAGUAAUAUAUCUGUCAAGAUAAUAACUGUUGAUUUGUAAAUCUAUCAAUAAAUAAUUUUAAACGUGGCUUCACAAACACUUUAGAGAGUCUACUUUAGACAACAUAGUUUUGAUUUCAGGGGGAAUAAAGGGUAAGUGAACUUAUGUACCACACCAAA